Molecule: long non-coding RNA, 172 nt
Organism: Xiphophorus couchianus (Monterrey platyfish)
Lineage: Eukaryota; Metazoa; Chordata; Actinopteri; Cyprinodontiformes; Poeciliidae
Exons: 3
Source: RefSeq, a predicted model, not a curated record
GCCAUUUGAAACUGUGAAUAAAUUCGGUGAACCUGAAUGUUUCUGUCGGGAAAUCAACCUACCGGACCUGAGACGAACAUAGAAGGGUUACAAGAGGCUCUUCCCAUCAUUCCCAGUGGACCCACUGGUGAAGAAGUAAAGACGCUUACAGCCUCGUUACAAAAGCUGUUUG